UACAGGGGGUGCUAGCGUUGUUCGGAAUUACUGGGCGUAAAGGGCGCGUAGGUUGUUUCGCAAGUCAGAAGUGAAAUCCCGGGGCUUAACUCCGGAAUUGCUCCUGAUACUGCGGGGCUAGAGUGUAUUAGAGGAUGGCGGAAUUCCUAGUGUAGAGGUGAAAUUCGUAGAUAUUAGGAAGAACACCGGUGGCGAAGGCGGCCAUCUGGGAUACAACUGACACUGAGGCGCGAAAGCGUGGGGAUCAAACAGG
This 253-nucleotide ribosomal RNA is filed under the name uncultured prokaryote. RNAcentral's name for it is "partial 16S ribosomal RNA". It matches the Rfam family "Bacterial small subunit ribosomal RNA", at positions 524 to 776 of the family's 1533-position model. The record is from RNAcentral.